AAAAGGCCUGAGGUGGGGUGUGAGCUCAGUGUGCUGGAGGAACAGCCAGGAGGGCAGAGUGGCUGAUGGUUUGAUUUCCCGGAACUAGAGGUUUGGCUUGUACUCUGGGGGAUCCUCAUGGCUGAGACCCAAACCCUGGGCCUGAACCACCCAAGGUAAUGAGAAGCAGGAACAAAGGUCCACUCAUGAAGUUGCUUCUGGAUCGGGAGAGAAUCAUGGGAAGAAGUCUGACACUUGUUUAGGUUUCUGAUAAACUUUCAAACAAUAAGACUGAGUUGGGUAAGAAACUACAGAACUCCGACCUUGAAACUCAUGACUUCAUGAAACUGCUAACAGAAGAUUAAGAUCAAGAAUCAAUUAUACAGAACUGAAGG
Molecule: long non-coding RNA, 374 nt
Filed under: Equus caballus (horse)
Lineage: Eukaryota; Metazoa; Chordata; Mammalia; Perissodactyla; Equidae
Description: lncRNA (ENSECAG00000059295.1)
Source: RNAcentral